Long non-coding RNA from Struthio camelus australis, 1612 nucleotides. The record is from Ensembl. Lineage: Eukaryota; Metazoa; Chordata; Aves; Struthioniformes; Struthionidae.
AGCGUCUUCGUAAGAGGCUUCUACGACCCCUUAUAAAAGGGCUCGGUGGGUAAUGGCAUGUGCUUUCUGUUAAUACCCAACUAGCCGAAUUCCUGGAGAUGAUUUUGAAGCCUUCAUGACCAGCACACAAGCCCAGCUGUCUCCAAGGGUGGCAGGAGCAGGUGCCAAUGCAUGGUGGCAUUCCAGGACGUUGUUUUCUGUAGGGAUUUUACUUUUAAAAUGAAGUGCCAAAGAAUAAUAUUUGUGUGUUGUGUAAGUGUUGACAAACCAAAUGGCUUUAAUUGGUCUCCCUGGCAUUUAGUACAAUGCAACCUGUCCUCCUGGCAGCCGCAAGCGGCUCUGAGCCCACAGCAAGGGUCAGCAGUUGCUACCGGGCAGUGAGACAUGCGGUGGCAUCGUGGCAAUGCAGUAGGGACUCCCAGCAGGAGAGAUGACUUUUGCUCGCUCUCUCUAGCUGCCCAUUUAAUCUUAUUUUGAUUGGCACCUACUCUUCAGCAGAGCAGCCUGAUUGACUUGAGCGGACACAGAGCUACUGGAGCAGAUGGGCACAGCUGCAGCUACCCGGUGGACCACGCACAGAUCCUCACUUGCAUUGUUUAGUCCGAGAGCGCAAACAGAGCCAACUUGGUUGAAGACAGGAGACCCCUAACUGAAGGAGAUGCUCGCAAAGAGGGACCUGUUACUCAGUAGGGCUUGCCCAAAGGAUCAGCUUAAAGAUGCACUGGUACGAAUUUCUUUACGCUCUGUGUGACAUUAGGAAUAUAUGAAGAUCACGUAGAUAGCACCUCGUUCCAAAUACCCAUGUUUAUUAUUUGUGAACAUAAUUAUAUCUGGCUACAGAUACUCACUGCCGCUCUGUUUCCACUGGGCUUUAUGUUAGAAGAUCGGAGCCUCGUGGGCUUGCAGCUUUAGAAAGGCGACAUGCCAACUCCUGUUCGCUACAGCUGGGAAACCAGAGGUGCAUCCUGCUGCUGCCUUCCUGCUCCCGUCCACGCAUGGACAUCACCUUGGAGGAAGGAGCUUGAGCUUGGAGGCUGCACCGGCGCGUAUGCACCCAUCCUGGGCUGCUGGCUCACCCCCAGAGCAACAGCUCCCAUCAGAGGCCCGACAGCGUCUCCAGCCAACUUGGGCGACUGCUCACGUGGGGAAGAGAGUGGGUUUCGUGCAGUUGAUGAAGAAUGUCUAUGGUAGAUGGAAGAGUUAAUUGAGGAUGUUCUCCGGAUUAAACAAGCUCGAUCAUUCAGGCACACAAGCCCUUGUUAACUUCAGCAGAACUUGGCGAUGGACCAAGCCCUGAAGAGGCCACGUGGCUCUGCCCACAAGACCGAGUCUAGCAAGGGAGUGUGAAGUAGUUUGCUGUGACUGGUAUUUAUCUUUUAUAUUUGGCUGAGUUUAGGUUGAUUUGUUUGACAAGAUAAAACAGCACAGCGAAACUGCAGUGAGCUUCCACCUCUGAGCGGUGUCACAGCAGCUUCCAGUGAGAUUCACCAGUUGCUUUGAGGCAACUCCGCCAGCUCUCAGAGCACCUGGGUUGGUUAUUUUGUGCUCUGCGGCAUCCUGCCUGCAGAUGGCAUUGGGUAAGUCAUGCGUGUCCUCUGCAAGAGAGUUAGAG